GGUGGCUCAGAGGCAGAGCGCUUGCCUAGCAUGCAUGAAGCCCUGAGUUCGAUUCCUCAGUACCA
This 65-nucleotide transfer RNA is filed under the name Dipodomys ordii (Ord's kangaroo rat). It matches the Rfam family "tRNA". From Rfam's summary of the family: Transfer RNA (tRNA) molecules are approximately 80 nucleotides in length. Their secondary structure includes four short double-helical elements and three loops (D, anti-codon, and T loops). Lineage: Eukaryota; Metazoa; Chordata; Mammalia; Rodentia; Heteromyidae. The record is from Rfam by way of RNAcentral.